This 71-nucleotide transfer RNA is filed under the name Camelus bactrianus (Bactrian camel). It matches the Rfam family "tRNA". Rfam says of the family: Transfer RNA (tRNA) molecules are approximately 80 nucleotides in length. Their secondary structure includes four short double-helical elements and three loops (D, anti-codon, and T loops). Lineage: Eukaryota; Metazoa; Chordata; Mammalia; Artiodactyla; Camelidae. The record is from Rfam by way of RNAcentral. RNAcentral also lists the same sequence under 2 other names.
GAGGGUUUAGCUCAGUGGUAUAGCAUGUGCUUAGUGUGCACAGGUCCUGGGUUCAAUCCCCAGCACCUCCA